This 270-nucleotide ribosomal RNA is filed under the name uncultured bacterium. RNAcentral describes it as "partial 16S ribosomal RNA". It matches the Rfam family "Bacterial small subunit ribosomal RNA", at positions 29 to 289 of the family's 1533-position model. The record is from RNAcentral.
ACGAACGCUGGCGGCGUGCCUAACACAUGCAAGUCGAACGGAGUAUAUUUUCUAGCUUGCUAGCAGAUAUACUCAGUGGCGCACGGGUGAGUAACACGUGGGCAACCUGCCCGGAAGUCUGGGAUAACAGUGCGAAAGUACUGCUAAAUACCGGAUACCUUCACGAAGCUGCCUAGCUUUGUGAAGAAAGAUUAAUUGCUUCCGGAUGGGCCCGCGUCCCAUUAGCUAGUUGGUGAGGUAACGGCUCACCAAGGCGACGAUGGGUAGCUG